Molecule: long non-coding RNA, 240 nt
Filed under: Physcomitrium patens
Lineage: Eukaryota; Viridiplantae; Streptophyta; Bryopsida; Funariales; Funariaceae
Description: long non-coding RNA (PPAT_LNC013791)
Source: RNAcentral
GAUCAAGGAAAUUAGAGAGAGGAGCUUCAUGCUUCGGGUCGGGGAAAGAAAGACAUAGAAUUUGGAUUUUUCUUCUUCGUAGAGUUUUGGGAAGACUGAGGCAAUCGCUGCUGAAGUCAGUGUUGUAAUGGUGAAUUGGGAUUUUUAAAUGAAGUGGGUUUGAAUACUCUUGACUGUUUUGUAAAAUCGAGUUACGUCUGUGAUUGAAGGAUUAAAAGGGUAUUUAUAGGAUUGAGUAUG